Molecule: ribosomal RNA, 1394 nt
Filed under: metagenome
Description: bacterial SSU rRNA
Rfam family: Eukaryotic small subunit ribosomal RNA
Source: RNAcentral
CCAUUAGGGUUUGAUUUCGGAGAGGAGGCCUGAGACACUGCCUCCACUUCCAAGGAAGGCAGCAGGAGCGAAAAUUUCUCAAUGACACCUCGUCGAAGAAGUGACAAGAAUUAACAGAGUUGGGUCCUUUUUGGAACAGCAUCUGUGAUGAGAACAAUUUAAAACCAUUAACUAGUAGCCAUGAGAGGGCAAGUCUGGUGCCAGCAGCCGCGGUAAUUCCAGCUCUUAGAGUGUAUAUGAAUGUUGUUGUAGUUAAAAAGCACAUAGCUGAUAAUGAUUUAUCAGCCACUUAUCGGUCACUUGUGGUCGGUAUUGUUGGUGUGAUAGACGAAAAGUCCAUUGAGUAGCAGGCGGUUGGUGAAACAUUGAUGCGCGCCCUUCAUUCCUACACGGUUUGGAGGACCUCUUUGGAAGAGAUUGACUUUGAAUAAAUUAGAGUGUUUAAAACAGGCUUUCUAGCCUUUGAAUAUAUUAGCAUAGUAUCACAGAAUAUGAUCGACUCACCCAGAAGCCUCGUAGAUUUUCUUCGAGGUGGGUCGUAUAAUGAGAGAUAGGAGCUGAUGGAGCGAUCUUUAUUUGUUGGGGAGGGGUGAAAUCCUAUGAUCCAACGAAGAAACACUAAUGCGAAAGCACCUCGCUAAGAUGUUUUUAUUAGUCAAGUACGAAAGUUAAGGGCGCGAAGAUGAUUAGAUACCAUCGUAGUCUUAACUGUAAACAAUGUUGAUUUAGGAUGUGAAAUCAUUUAUUAUGACUUUUCACGGAUUAUACGAGAAAUCUAGAAUAAUCGAACUCUAGGGGAAGUAUUAUCGCAAGAUAGAAACUUAAACGAAUUGACGGAAGAGCACCACCAGGCGUGGAACCUGCGGCUUAAUUUGACCCAACGCGGGAAACCUUACCAGGACAAGACAUUAAAAGGAUUGACAGAUUGAUAGAUCUUUCAUGAUAUAAUGAAAGGUGGUGCAUGGCCGUUUUUAGUUGGUGGUUUGAAUUGUCUGGUUAAUUCCGAUAACGUAACAAGACCUUUUCCUGCUAUUUAGCUUAGGAAAAGAGCUGAUUUCAGUGGCGUUCAGCCUUCUUCGGGAGGUGCCCUUCAGCUGUCUUAACUUAGCUUCUUAGAGGUACGCUUUUUGUUUGUGAAUAAUUAAAAGGAAGAAAGACAAUAACAGGUCUGUGAUGCCCUUAGAUGUUUUGGGAUGCACGCGCGUUACAAUGAGACUAUCACAUAGUUCUCCUAGUUAGAGAUUACUUAGGAAAUCUCAGAGACAGUCUCGUGAUGGGGAUUGUGUUUUGCAAUUAUCGCACAUGAACGAGGAAUGCCUUGUAGGGGUGUGUCAUUAACGCACCCCGAAUUAGUCCCUGCUCUUUGUACACACCGCCCGUCGCUCCUACUGACC